GAUGAACGCUGGCGGCGUGCCUAAUACAUGCAAGUAGAACGCUGAAGGAGGAGCUUGCUCUUCUGGAUGAGUUGCGAACGGGUGAGUAACGCGUAGGUAACCUGCCUGGUAGCGGGGGAUAACUAUUGGAAACGAUAGCUAAUACCGCAUGACAACAGUUAUUGCAUGAUAACUGUUUAAAAGGGGCAACUGCUCCACUACCAGAUGGACCUGCGUUGUAUUAGCUAGUUGGUGAGGUAACGGCUCACCAAGGCGACGAUACUUAGCCGACCUGAGAGGGUGAUCGGCCACACUGGGACUGAGACACGGCCCAGACUCCUACGGGAGGCAGCAGUAGGGAAUCUUCGGCAAUGGACGGAAGUCUGACCGAGCAACGCCGCGUGAGUGAAGAAGGUUUUCGGAUCGUAAAGCUCUGUUGUAAGAGAAGAACGAGUGUGAGAGUGGAAAGUUCACACUGUGACGGUAUCUUACCAGAAAGGGACGGCUAACUACGUG
RNAcentral lists this ribosomal RNA (495 nucleotides) under uncultured bacterium. RNAcentral describes it as "partial 16S ribosomal RNA". It matches the Rfam family "Bacterial small subunit ribosomal RNA", at positions 28 to 507 of the family's 1533-position model. The record is from RNAcentral.